GCCUCUGUAGUCCAAUGGAUAAGACAGCCCUCUCCUAAAGGGCAGAUCCGGGUUCGAUCCCCGGCGGGGGCA
This is a non-coding RNA of Arthrobacter sp., 72 nucleotides long. Lineage: Bacteria; Bacillati; Actinomycetota; Actinomycetes; Micrococcales; Micrococcaceae. The record is from Rfam.